UGUUAAGCAACAUCCAGUAUUAAUUAUUUAAUCAUUUUUUUAAUUCUUUUUCAUCAGGUAAGAAGAGAAUAGCAUGCUUACUGAGAGGAUGGCUUUUCACUUAGCACCGUUGUGCUCAGGACUGAGCUCCAAAAGCAAGCACAAGAUCUCACCACACUCCAGGACCACACCAAAGGAGUUACCUCCGGAUGUGGCAGCCGGUGCAGCCUCCUCAAUGCUGAGCAGCUUCUCAGGGGAUGUGUGGCCUUUGCGAAGAAUGGGUCCUUUUAUUUGUGUUCUAUUCCCUAACAUUUUAAUAAAGCCUCGUUCAUCUCAACCAUCCUCUGCUGCUAGGAGAAACCCCCUGUAUGUGACAUUUUGGAGAGCCCGUUUUGGGCUGCUGUGGUCUUCUACUGCUUUCCUUUAGGACUCUGAUGAUACCUGUGUGAACAAGCAGAAGAGUGCCAUGCCAAGAAAUGGGCACAUGUAUUACUUGGGUGCAUCAUCUAAUCAAUUCCUUUUGUGUUAUAAUUCCCUCUGCUACACAAAGGACCAUGGAUCUUGCACGCUGCUGCCAUGCAUCGUUUUCUUUUCAUGAUCCUACACAUCACUGGUAUCUCCUUAUUCCGUUCCUUCAAGUUGCAGCCAUGCGCUUGACUGGAUUGGGUCCAUAUUGGUGAGGUACAGGAAACACAUGGCAGCUUGGCCCAUCUCUUUGGCUUCACCUCUAGAAAGAGGAAAGUCUUCAUGUCCACGUGCAAAUUUCCUCACACUUCAGCAGCCUGGCCUUUGGCCAGAGAGCCACCUUUGCUGGCACUGCUGAUACUUGGCAUGAAGUUCUCCCAUCCUAAUUCCUGCUAGGACAGAUUGUACAGAACAUGUCAUGGUUUGACGGCUGUCCAAGAGGUGCUGUGUGGGUUGGAAUUCCUCAUCUAGGUCAAGAUCGAUAGUCAUGGAAACCCUUGUGAAGCAAGGCCUGCUCCUCUGUUCCCUUGUUAUGGGGGAUUAUUUGAUUCACUUACAGGAGCAUGCACUACUUUGCUAAAUCUUUUUCAGAAGUGUUGCCAUGAAAUAUUUCCUCCAAGAGCAAUAAAGGACCCUCAAUAUUUUUAAGUCUGUCA
RNAcentral lists this long non-coding RNA (1100 nucleotides) under Phasianus colchicus (ring-necked pheasant). Its description in RNAcentral is "lncRNA (ENSPCLG00000011290.1)". Lineage: Eukaryota; Metazoa; Chordata; Aves; Galliformes; Phasianidae. The record is from RNAcentral.